This 433-nucleotide ribosomal RNA is filed under the name uncultured bacterium. RNAcentral's name for it is "partial 16S ribosomal RNA". It matches the Rfam family "Bacterial small subunit ribosomal RNA", at positions 29 to 507 of the family's 1533-position model. The record is from RNAcentral.
AACGAACGCUGGCGGCAUGCCUAGCACAUGCAAGUCGAACGAGACCUUCGGGUCUAGUGGCGCACGGGUGCGUAACGCGUGGGAACCUGCCCUUAGGUUCGGAAUAACUCCCCGAAAGGGGUGCUAAUACCGGAUAAUGUCUUCGGACCAAAGAUUUAUCGCCUUUGGAUGGGCCCGCGUUGGAUUAGCUAGUUGGUAGGGUAAAAGCCUACCAAGGCGACGAUCCAUAGCUGGUCUGAGAGGAUGAUCAGCCACACUGGGACUGAGACACGGCCCAGACUCCUACGGGAGGCAGCAGUGGGGAAUAUUGGACAAGGGGCGAAAGCCUGAUCCAGCAAUGCCGCGUGAGUGAUGAAGGCCUUAGGGUUGUAAAGCUCUUUUACCCGGGAUGAUAAUGACAGUACCGGGAGAAUAAGCUCCGGCUAACUCCGUG